Molecule: long non-coding RNA, 4151 nt
Organism: Aethalodelphis obliquidens (Pacific white-sided dolphin)
Lineage: Eukaryota; Metazoa; Chordata; Mammalia; Artiodactyla; Delphinidae
Exons: 9
Source: RefSeq, a predicted model, not a curated record
CCACACUGUAGCAUGUAUCAGCGUUUCAUUCCUUUUUAAGGCUGAAUACUAUUCCAUUGUCUCAAUGGGCCACAUUUUGUUUAUCCCUUCCUCAGCUGCUGGACAUCUGAGUCGUUUCUGCCUUUUGUCUUUUAUGAAUAAUGCAGCUUUGCACAUUUGUGCACAAGUUCUUGGUGUGGACACAUGUUUUCAUUUCUCGGGGGUGGAAACUCAGGAGAGGGAGUUCCCUGGUGGUCCAGCGGUUAGGAGUCGGCACUUUCCCUGCCGUGGCCCAGGGUUCAAUCCCUGGUCGGGGAACUGAGAUUCUGCAAGCUGCGUGGUGUGGCCAAAAGAAAAAAGAACCUGAGGAGGAGAAUAUGCUUGGGUUUCGUGAUGGCAUUUUGGCAGCUCUGAAGCUUUUUGGCAGCCUUCUAGGUGGCAAGAGAGGGACUGUGCUGAGACGUGGUGGGAGGGGUGGGAGCUCCAGCAAGAGGGGAGCACAGCAGUCCCCGUCUACCUGCCGGGAACUCAAGAGUCACUCUGUCUCUGAGCCUUGGGCUCACCAUCUGCCCAACGGGGACAACCAAGGCGCCUCCCAGAGUUGGUGGGGGCCACGGGAAACGACAAGGCUGCAGGAAGAAGGAAACAUUCUCCUUUGCUGGGUGUGGGAAGGGCCCUGGAGAUGCCAUGCCAACUGUCCAGUACUGCCACCCCUGCCAGCAGGGGAUGGGGUGGAAGAGCCAGGCUUGAUGGCAUUGACUAUAUCGCCCUGAGAGGGAGGUGUCAUUACGGCCCCCAUUUUGCAGAUGAGAACACGGAGGCCUCAGGAAGCGAAGUCACUUGCCGGGUCACAGUUGCAGUCCCCACAUCUGCCAGAUGAAGUCUUUCCCUCAACCCGCUCCCAGCCUGGUCCUGCCUCCUCCUGGCUGCCGUGAGAAGCAAUGAGAAGCCAGGCUCCUUUUGUGGGUGCGAGUCCCCAAAGGGCUGGGACGAUCUGUCUUGUCCCCUGAUGUGGUCCCAGUGCCCAGAACAGUCCUUGGCACAAAGCGGGCGCUAGGCAAUUUUGCCAGGAUGCAUGAUUUGGAGACUCUGUUUCCCCAUCUGUGAAAUGGGCAUAACAUCCAGCCCCUGCGUUUGUGAAAGCACAGGGCACAGAGCCUGAGCUUUUCAGAUGGCGUUCCCGCCUCUCCCUCCUCCCUCACCUGGGGGCGGGUCCCCUGGGAGGAGAAUGGGACGACAGUCGGAGUCCAUGGCUGGUCCCGCCCUAGAGCUUGUGGGGGCACCUGGCGGCUUUCCUGCUGCCCUCUCCCUCUUCCCAGGCUGGUCCCCAUCAGUCAGCUCCCGCACACUUCUCUGGGGUCCCGACCUCAAGUUCUGCCCAUCCUGGGGUGCCGAAUGGGUAUGUCUUCUGCGCAGAGAUGCCCUCGCUCCUUUUCCAGCUAACGGAGCCAAUUAGUGAUGUUGGAGGCCUCUCCCCUGUGAUUCCACUACAGCAGCCAGAUUUUUAAAGUCCAGAUUAUCAGAUGCCCAGCCCUGCCCCUUGCCCACCCAGAAGUGGUAGCAGAGGGAGGGGUGUCCCCAAGGUGGAGGUGGUCAGAGGCCUGGCUUCGAGGGGGCCCUAGCUUCCCUCCCCCCAUUUGCAGGCACCGUUCUGCCAGGGAAUCGGCCCCUGGCCCCUGUGGGCUGUGGGCUGGUGGGAAGGGGAGUGGGACCAAGGCCUCCCCGCUUCCCAACGGCCGGCCUUUCCCUGAACCAGCUCACAAAGGUGGCACCAUUGAUUGCAGAGCUGAAAUUCCCCUGGGGUUGCAAGACCCAGAGCCCGUGCUUUGUCAACCUCAGCGACAGGUCGGUGCUGCUAUUGCGUUAUUAUUAUUGUCAACAUUCUCCACAGAUACACUUGGCAAAUUGCUGCCCUGGUGGAAAAAAUUGUGGGGUGGGAUUGAGGGGCCUGGGUCCUGACCCCUAUCUGCUAUGGCCCAAGUGAUCUUGGGAAAUCCCACCCCUCUGAGCCAGGAGCCACCCUCCGUACAGUGGCAGUGUCUUGCGGUGGCCGAAGCCCAGGCUGGACGCCAGGUUGCCUGCUCUGCUCUGCAUAAGCAGGGUGCCUGGAAUCCCCUGGAGCAUCAGUCUGAACAUACGUGUGGUGUCCUCAGAAGACCCCCAGGGAAGAUGUAGAGGGUCCACGUUGCCAGCCCCUGGGAAUCGUGAGUAUGUGGACGGAGCACAGGCAAGACAGCAUUGCGCAUGUGCAAAAUGGGAACGCAUGCCUCCAGGAUGACCCCGGAACCAGGAAUCUUCAGCUGACGGAACUUAAAGAACAGAAAUGUUGCCAGCGGAGCCCUUUACGAAACGAGAAGUCCUUCAAUCAGGAGACUCUGGCUUCCAGCAGUAGCUUAUUUGGACUGAUUCGAGACUAGCCAAUCAGCUUCCAAGUCUGAAGUUCCCUUAACCCGUUAAAUUUCACCCAGAAGCCUGGAUUGAGGAGAGAGAUUUGAGUCCUGCUUCCUGUUUCCUUGCAGGUCGACCUCGCAGUGAAGCUCUUUCUUUCCUCAAAAGCUGGUGCCAUAGUGUCAGCUCCUACGUGCAUCAGGCAGCCAGCACUUGCUGGGUAACAGAGGUAUCUUCUAUAAAGACCUUCAAGUGACAUCUUGCAUACAAUGAAGAAAUGGGGGCCCAGUGAAGUGUAGCAGCUUGCUCAAGGUCACACAGCGAGGAGCAGCAGAUCCCACACUUGAACUUGGUCUGCCUGCUGCGCUGUCUUUCCUGCAAACAGCUGCCCAAGCUCACGCAGGCUGCAGAGAGAUGCUGAGAGCUCCGAGCUGGGGCCUUCAGAGGAGACAGAACAGAGACUGGCUGGGACACGAGGAGGGGAGGCCCCUUCACGUCCCGAUCUUAGUUCCCCAGUGAGGGAUCGAACCUAUGCCCCAUGCAGUGGAAGCGUGGAGUCUUAACCACUGGGCUGCCAGGGAAGAACCCUGUAUUUGGUUUUGAUUGCCCAGCGUCAAGAAAAUUUGGAAUCAUAGCCCUCACUUUACAGAUGGGAAGACUGAGGCCCAGCCACCAGAGGCAGAACCUUGGCGCUUGCCUACCAGUUCCCCAGGGCCUGUCGCAUCGGUGGUGGACACCAAGACUGGUGCAGAAGAGAAGCCUUUGGUACCUGCCUUGAGGAGGAGCCUGGACCCUCCUUGCCACCCUACCCCACCCACCCUCCAUCACCGUGGCAACUAUGCAGGGUUUUGAUUGUCGCUGUCCCUCGCCUUGCACCUGGCCUGGGUCCACCAAGCAUUCUCCCCACCUGUUCACGCCCAGGUCCACACAGCAGGUCGCCUGGGCAACCCACCCAGACGUCACUGGCAGCUCUGGCGGCUGGCCCAGGAGCUGAAGCAGCUGGUGGCUGGAUCACGUUUCCAGGGAUCCUGAGAUCUUUCCUGGAAAGCUGCCUCCCCAACUUGCUGUGUGAUGCACACAUGGCAACUGAGGGAAAUGUCCCUCCCAGGGCUCAAUUUCUCCAGCUGUAAAAUGGGACUGCUAAAUGGGCCAACCCGCGGGCUAUCAGACAGAACAAAUGAGAACCUAUUAAGCUGCUUAGAAAGUAAAAGGCAAGGUGCGUAUAGUUUGAUGGAGUCAAAAUUUGGACCCCAAAGAAAAAAGCAGGGCAAAUAAACUUCCAGUGAAGUAUCAAACAAAACAAAAUAAAACAACAAAAACAAAAACCCCAGGUGAUACUGUGCCUCAUUUUCUCCAUCCGUUAAGUUGGGGCAGUGGGUACCAGCUCCUACCUCCCACAUGUGUGGUGACGAUCUGGUGAGGUGAAACUUACAAUGAGCAUGGGGCCUGGUUUUAUAGUUAGUGCUCCACAGAUCUCAGCUGUGAUGCCAAAAUCAAUCACUGCCAACAGUAUGAAUUGAGGCAAAACAUUCUGGAGUGUCACUUCACAUCUCUUAGCCUCAAUUUUCUCUAUAAGUUGGGAGUAUAAUGAUAGUACCUGCUAUAUCAGUUUUCUCAUGUGUAAACUGAGGGUGAUAAUACCUAUCUCACAGGGUUGUCUGUGAGGUUUAGGUAAAGUAUCAAUACUUGGUUACAUGUGUUAGCUUCUUUUUCUUCUUUUUUUAUGUUGGGGGUAGGAGUUUAUUAAUUAAUUAAUUUAUUUUUGCUGUGUUGGGUCUUCGCUU